Molecule: non-coding RNA, 65 nt
Organism: Dipodomys ordii (Ord's kangaroo rat)
Lineage: Eukaryota; Metazoa; Chordata; Mammalia; Rodentia; Heteromyidae
Source: Rfam
GGUGGCUCAGUGGUAGAGUGCUUGCCUUGCAUGCACGAGGCCUUGAGUUUGAAUCCUCAGCACCA